Molecule: transfer RNA, 57 nt
Filed under: Trichuris trichiura (human whipworm)
Lineage: Eukaryota; Metazoa; Nematoda; Enoplea; Trichinellida; Trichuridae
Also listed under: 1 other name
Description: tRNA-Phe
Source: RNAcentral
UUCUCCUAGCUUAAGCUCAAGCAUAUCUCUGAAGAAGAUAAGAUUCUCGAGAGUAAU